AAUUAGAAAGCAAUGAUAAGGAAUUAAAACUGACAUUAUUCAUCUUUUCUUCACUGUUACGGGACCUGGAAAGCAAGGAAUUCCUUAAAAUAAGCAAUUCUGGCCGUUAGGUUUAAAACUGAGAUGGAAGCUAAAGUUGAAGGAUAUAUUUUAUUUGGAAGAACAGCACAUAUCAUUAUCGGCAAGAUCUGCUAUGAGGAGAAAAGUAGGUGCCCACGAGCAGAAAAAGUCACAAACAAGGCAGCGGCAAGAGAAUGGGAGCAGAGGGCGACAGUAGAGAAGACUGGAGGCAAGGACUCCGUCAGGACGCAAGUGGCACCCAAAGAGGGACAAGAAACGAGAUGAGAGACUUGAAAUGAAAGAGGAGAAAAAGCCCCAAAGUGAGUCUUUGCACGGCUGUGUCUUCUUCCCGCUGGUGAACUGUGGAUACUUAUGGCAGGGUAUGGGUGAUA
Long non-coding RNA from Mustela erminea (ermine), 452 nucleotides. RefSeq lists it as uncharacterized. The record is from RefSeq and is a predicted model, not a curated record. The transcript is spliced from 3 exons. NCBI's taxonomy places the organism in Eukaryota, Metazoa, Chordata, Mammalia, Carnivora, Mustelidae.